AGCGCUCCACCAAUCCCUCGCACGCCUCCUCCUCUCCCAAAUCCCCAAUCCCGUCGCCCGGUUCCUCCUCCCCAAUCCCAGGCCUCGCACCGCGCCCCAUUCCCCGACGCUCCUCUCCAUCGGCGGCAUCCGCUGCUUCGCGCCGCCACCCCGUCGUCAUUGCUAGGGCCGCCUCCCCUUCCCGCCCCUUCCGUCCUCAGCGCACGUCGUCGUCCCCACCCCGACGCUCGCCGUCAUAGCCUUCUUCGUCGAGUCAGCGCUCGAGGACGCGGAGCAGAAGCCCUCCAUAGGGGCGCUCGUGCUGGAGACGGCGGCGAGGUGAGCACGAAGGAGUUGCAGCCUUGAGGUACCUCCACCUCGCGCCCCACCCCAUCUCUCACCCAAUCUCCUCCCUCUCCACUCCACAUCGUGGUAGAGCCGCCGCCACCACGCCAUAUCCUCGUCGAGCCACCACCCCAUGUAGUGGUCGACCUUGUCGCGUUGCCGUCGCCGUCGCCUGGAGGGAGCAUAGGCGGCCGCUCGCACCACCACCGCGGGAUGUCGCCAUUACCGGGAGGAGGUUUGCGGAAGGGGAAUCGGCAGAUUGAUGCGGGGGAUUGAGCAAAGAGUGAACGAGGGUGGCCUCGGGCCGCCAGCGAGCUCGCCCUCUCGUCCUCAUGGGGGACGCUGUCGUCCGGGCAACGUCUUCCUGUGCGGUCUCCGGCUCUAUCGGGAGAUUUAGGAUGACGGUCUACGCGGCCUUCGCUCUUCGGUACUGUCGGGAGAUUGAGGCGGACGGUCUACGCGGCCUCCGGCACUGUCGGGAGAUUGGGGAGGAUGGUCGUCCAGCUCAGAGAUCCGGCCUCCUCAUCUCCAUCCACAUCACCAGGACGCGCACCUGUAGCUUGACCCUUACACCGUCCUCUGAAGUGCUUCUCCCAGAUAUGGCUCAACACUGUUGAUUCAACAGGGCUUGGUGAUGCGGCUCCGGCACAGGCUGUAUGGCCUUGUUUUCCAAGAUUGAUAUGUCAUCGGAGAUGGUACAUCUGAUGAGUAUUAGGAUGGUGUUGUGCGAGUCUUUUUAAUUUUUUCCUCCCGAGUACUGUACAAAUAUGAGAGAUAUUCAUGCAUCUCAUAUUGUGGAAGAAUACCUUGAUUCGCUGACUAGAUGAGCAAGGUAACCAAGCUGAGGAGAGACCUGUUGAUUUGGACUUGCGGGAGCGUGUCUCAGAUGGCUACAUUAUCGGGGUUUUCGGAUUUCCUCUUCAUAUGUUAUUCUAUAGUCGAGCUGAUUGAAGUGUACUGUUGCAACUUGUGUGUAUGUGUUUACCAAUGCUGCAGUAGGUAAAUGAAUUUUAAUGGGCAUACACAUUAGAAGAAAUCAAUGUGUUUCACGAUGAAAUAUGAUUUACAAGUGCAUGAGGAAGGACAUUUUCUUUGAACUUACUGUUUGCAAAUUCUCAGAUAGGGAUUUAUAUGUACACAGACUUAGUAGGUUCAGUCUCUUCACAUUCAUUUUAUCAUAUUGCGGAUGCCACCAUCCCAAAUGAUUUUUUCACCAGAAAUUCAUGGAUAUACAGUUUGUGAUGUGUUCUCUGCUCCAUUGCCUGUGACCACUGGCCCCUCAGCUUGCAGAUGCCGCCGUCAUUGCUUGGUUGGCAUGGGCGCCACGAGAUUUGGUGUGGUCGAGCACCAUCGAGGGCCUAUCAUCAGCAAUCAAUUACGCUUCGCAACACAUUUUUGGUUAAAAUGGUAGUGAUGUUUCAAAUAUGACCUUGCUGCAUCUGGUCCUCCCAAAGGUACGUACAUAACUUUUUCUACUGCCUCCAUUAGGGAGUAUAUAUUAUUCCUACCCCCUUCUCUUCCAGUGCUCUCACAUUCCUUGAAAACCUAUACCACUGCAGUAUGUCCAACUGAUAAUUGGAACAGUUAGUUAGGUAUGUCCAACUGAUAAUUGGAACAGUUAGUUAGGUAACACAGAAGGCAUUGUUAUUAUUCUUUAUCUUGAUCAAGCAAAAGGAUGUAGUUCUAUGAUUCCAGGAGUGGGUAAAUUGCUUAUGGUUCAGGUACAUCUUGAUCGAUACCUAAAUAUUUAGUUAUUCGAGUCUCUUCAAUGGAUUUAACAUGGUCAUACCUCUUCUCUUGCGGGAUGCUUUUAUCAUUCUAGAUUUGGCAUGAAAUCAGUUAUAUUAGCUUAUUUCUGCUCUGUUCUGCUAUUGAAUUAUAUGAUUUUUAUAAUUUAGCUUUCAUACAUUUGUUACUCAAACAAACUUAUUUACAUAGGUAAUGACACUGUUAAAUUGACACUCAAACCAAGUUUAAUAUAAAUUUACGUGUGCAAGAUUGAUUAUAUAUCAUAGAUUUUUUUUUGAAUGAACUAACAGCCUAUAUAAAUUGAUCACAUAAAUUAAAUUUACGUAUGAAAAGUCAUAGUUCAUAAGCAGUUAACCAUGCAGUUGUCCAUUAUUGCACUAAGGUGGCAUAAGAACUUUCAUAAAUUAUUAAGUCACACUUUUGCAGUAGCACCUUCAACCUACAAAAUAAAACUUAAAAGCUGCAUAUGAGCACACAGAUUACGAGUCAAAUAUGCAUCAUAUCUAAGCUCAAUAUUGCAAACACUGAAGAAAGACAGAAGGAUAAUUUACCAUAUACUUCUUCUCUUAUUGGUUGAUUAUUUAUAGUUCAUAAAAAUUACACUGAAAAAGAAAAUUGUUAUUUGGAAAAUUCCCCACCUCCACAGUCCACACACAGUGCCAUUGAUUUCCCUUUCACAUCUCCAUAUUCUUAAUGGACAUUCCAUUGUAUGGUUAUGCGAACUCCAGUGUGAAUCUUGGAGUAAUAUCUGUGUAAGGGGUGUGCUAUAUUGGAAAACACUGCUAAACCUGCCUUGUCCUUUUUUUUACAUAAACCUGCAAAAAAAUUCUUUCAGUUUUUUCAUGAGUUCACCUUGAUGCAGAUGACCGUCUACCUUUUGUCUGAUCUCUAAAUUGGUAAUUAGUUGUUGGCACAUUUACGAGUACAUGUCACGCCUAUGUCACCAUCACACUCAAACAGAUAAUCGAAACAUCUGGCAGAUGAGUCUGGUUUUCCUCCACAGAAAGGCUACACCCACAUAGGCUAAAAAUUUCUGUACUUACAAUUAUCCCAAGGCACAAAGAUGAUACAUUAGCGUUUGGAAAUAGCACAGAACCUCACUAUUGCAUUUGGAAAUAAAAUCUUGGAUUGAUUUUCUAUGAAGGGAUAUAAUUGAGUAUCCUCAUGUGCAUAUAUUUAUCUACCACUUCGCGUUGCUGCCUUCCACGCAACCUUGUGUUUUUCUAUUUCAGAGAUUUGCUGAGUAAGAAGAAAAGAUAAUGUUGUUCUGCAGAUCCUAAUUUUUCGUUCAUCACAUAUUGCCUUUUCUUUUAGCAUGAACAUUGCUUAAUUGCACUCUCAGCAUUGUCGAACAGGCCCUUCUAUUGUUCAAUUAAAUGUGAUCAAAAGAUUUAUCUACUAUUUUAGGGACAACUCCUUUGGGAAGUUUACAAGGAUGCCUUAUGUUCAAGUUAGAGCGAUUUUUCUAUUUGGAUGUUCUUUAUGAAAAUUCAAAAAUAGUUUCCUGCACACCACUUUAUUUUUCUAUAUUCUCUCCUAAUUUAUUCAUGUACAUCAGUAUGAGUUUAAAUGCUAUCUCCUAAAUAUUUCAGUCUGCUGGGUUCCUACAUGUGUCCAGAUCUAUGUAACUAUUGACUACACACGAGUGGUGAACUUAAGUAUUGAGCGUAGGAAGAAAA
Molecule: long non-coding RNA, 3752 nt
Organism: Lolium perenne
Lineage: Eukaryota; Viridiplantae; Streptophyta; Magnoliopsida; Poales; Poaceae
Source: RefSeq, a predicted model, not a curated record